UACAGAGGUCUCAAGCGUUGUUCGGAUUCAUUGGGCGGAAAGGGUGCGUAGGCGGCGCGGUAAGGCGGGUGUGAAAUCUCGGAGCUUAACUCCGAAACUGCAUUCGAUACUGCCGUGCUUGAGGACUGGAGAGGAGACUGGAAUUUACGGUGUAGCGGUGAAAUGCGUAGAUAUCGUAAGGAAGACCAGUGGCGAAGGCGGGUCUCUGGACAGUUCCUGACGCUGAGGCACGAAGGUCAGGGGAGCAAACGGG
Molecule: ribosomal RNA, 253 nt
Filed under: uncultured bacterium
Lineage: Bacteria
Description: partial 16S ribosomal RNA
Rfam family: Bacterial small subunit ribosomal RNA
Source: RNAcentral